CAUGCAGUCGAACGGAGAUUACAGGCGGAAGUUUUCGGAUGGAAGCUUGUAAACUUAGUGGCGGACGGGUGAGUAACACGUGAGCAACCUGCCUAUCAGAGGGGGAUAACGAUUGGAAACGAUCGCUAAUACCGCAUGACAUAGCGGAACCGCAUGGUUCUGUUAUCAAAGAUUUUAUCGCUGAUAGAUGGGCUCGCGUCCGAUUAGAUAGUUGGUGGGGUAACGGCCUACCAAGUCGACGAUCGGUAGCCGGACUGAGAGGUCGAACGGCCACAUUGGGACUGAGACACGGCCCAGACUCCUACGGGAGGCAGCAGUGGGGGAUAUUGCACAAUGGGGGAAACCCUGAUGCAGCGACGCCGCGUGAGGGAAGACGGUCCUCUGGAUUGUAAACCUCUGUCUUCGGGGACGAAACGAGACGGUACCCGAGGAGGAAGCCACGGCUAACUACGUGCCAGCAGCCGCGGUAAUACGUAGGUGGCAAGCGUUGUCCGGAAUUACUGGGUGUAAAGGGAGCGUAGGCGGGCAGGCAAGUCAGGCGUGAAAUAUAUCGGCUCAACCGGUAACGGCGCUUGAAACUGCAGGUCUUGAGUGAAGUAGAGGUUGGCGGAAUUCCUAGUGUAGCGGUGAAAUGCGUAGAUAUUAGGAGGAACACCAGUGGCGAAGGCGGCCAACUGGGCUUUUACUGACGCUGAGGCUCGAAAGUGUGGGGAGCAAACAGGAUUAGAUACCCUGGUAGUCCACACCGUAAACGAUGAUUACUAGGUGUGGGGGGACUGACCCCUUCCGUGCCGGAGUUAACACAAUAAGUAAUCCACCUGGG
RNAcentral lists this ribosomal RNA (823 nucleotides) under uncultured bacterium. RNAcentral describes it as "bacterial SSU rRNA". It matches the Rfam family "Bacterial small subunit ribosomal RNA", at positions 54 to 877 of the family's 1533-position model. The record is from RNAcentral.